GACGAACGCUGGCGGCGUGCUUAACACAUGCAAGUCGAACGGAAAGGCCCUGCUUUUGUGGGGUGCUCGAGUGGCGAACGGGUGAGUAACACGUGAGUAACCUGCCCUUGCCUUUGGGAUAACUUCAGGAAACUGGGGCUAAUACCGGAUAGGAGCUCCUGCUGCAUGGUGGGGGUUGGAAAGUUUCGGCGGUUGGGGAUGGACUCGCGGCUUAUCAGCUUGUUGGUGGGGUAGUGGCUGACCAAGGCUUUGACGGGUAGCCGGCCUGAGAGGGUGACCGGCCACAUUGGGACUGGGAUGAGGCCCAGACUCCUACGGUAGGCAGCGGUGGAGAAUGGUGCACAAUGGGCGGAAGCCUGAUGCAGCAACGCCGCGUGGGGGAUGACGGCCUUCGGGUUGUAAACCGCUUUCGCCUGUGACGAAGCGUGAAUGACGGUAAUGGGUAAAGAAGCACCGGCUAACUACGUG
Molecule: ribosomal RNA, 468 nt
Filed under: uncultured bacterium
Lineage: Bacteria
Description: partial 16S ribosomal RNA
Rfam family: Bacterial small subunit ribosomal RNA
Source: RNAcentral